UACGAAGGGGGCUAGCGUUGCUCGGAAUCACUGGGCGUAAAGGGUGCGUAGGCGGGUCUUUAAGUCAGGGGUGAAAUCCUGGAGCUCAACUCCAGAACUGCCUUUGAUACUGAGGAGCUUGAGUCCGGGAGAGGUGAGUGGAACUGCGAGUGUAGAGGUGAAAUUCGUAGAUAUUCGCAAGAACACCAGUGGCGAAGGCGGCUCACUGGCCCGGUACUGACGCUGAGGUGCGAAAGCGUGGGGAGCAAACCGG
RNAcentral lists this ribosomal RNA (253 nucleotides) under uncultured bacterium. RNAcentral's name for it is "partial 16S ribosomal RNA". It matches the Rfam family "Bacterial small subunit ribosomal RNA", at positions 524 to 776 of the family's 1533-position model. The record is from RNAcentral.